CCCUUAGAUGUUCUGGGCCGCACGCGUGCUACGCUGAGUGGAUCAGCGGGUCAGGUUGCGCGAAAGUGUUUCCUAAUCUUUAAAUCCGCUCGUGAUGGGGAUUGACGGUUGCAAUUUUCCGUCAUGAACGAGGAAUACCUUGUAAGCGCGGGUCAUCAUCCCGCGCUGAAUACGUCCCUGCCCUUUGUACACACCGCCCGUCGCUCCUACCGAUUGAGUGGUCCGGUGAGGCUUUGGGAUCUGGGCGGAAAGAGCGUUUCGCUGUUUCUGCCCGGAAAACUCAGUCGAACCUUAUCAUUUAGAGGAAGGAGAAGUCGUAACA
RNAcentral lists this ribosomal RNA (322 nucleotides) under uncultured eukaryote. RNAcentral describes it as "partial 18S ribosomal RNA". It matches the Rfam family "Eukaryotic small subunit ribosomal RNA", at positions 1470 to 1796 of the family's 1831-position model. The record is from RNAcentral.